GGAUGAUUAGCUCAGCUAGGGAGAGCAAUGCACUUUUAAUGCGUGGGUCGCAGGUUCGAUCCCUGCAUCAUCCA
RNAcentral lists this transfer RNA (74 nucleotides) under Corynebacterium glutamicum. Its description in RNAcentral is "tRNA-Lys". It matches the Rfam family "tRNA". From Rfam's summary of the family: Transfer RNA (tRNA) molecules are approximately 80 nucleotides in length. Their secondary structure includes four short double-helical elements and three loops (D, anti-codon, and T loops). Lineage: Bacteria; Bacillati; Actinomycetota; Actinomycetes; Mycobacteriales; Corynebacteriaceae. The record is from RNAcentral.